CCCGCUACGCUUUCAUUUGAGUGACGACGACAGAAGCUUCAACUUCGACAAAGAGACAACUCUUGCGUUUUCAAAAACAUUUGGCUACAAACCAAUAAUUUGUAAGAGCACUUUUUAGUUCUUUUCAUAAACUAUCAUCCCGUGAUUUUUGAAGGCGACUCUCUUGACAUAUCUCCUUUAUACCGACGUUACCAGAACAAAGGUUUCAAGCUACGGUCGAACUGCCCUUGGAACAAUAUAAAAUAAUGACCAAGGGAGAAGACUCACACUCUGAAAUGGCCCAUGCUCGUCAGAGUGAUGGCAUCAAUGUGAUCUUUGACCAAAACAGCCCUGCCUCAUCUCGCUCCCAGUCCCAAAGCAGCAGUGGCAGCAGACAAUCCUCUGGCUCUGCCUGCUACAGGGGGCGAGGUAGUCACAGGGGGCGUUCUUCAUCUUCUUCGUCAUCUACAUCCAGAAGUAGGUCCUCCUCUCGCCCCAGGUCUCGCUCUCACCCUCGGUGCCACAGACGUUCCUCUCGCUGUGGCUGUGACAACCAUCGUAGAUAUGGCCAUGGCCGCCACCGCCGCUCCCCACCACGCCGUUACAGAGCCCACUCUCGCUCCUACAGCCGCUCGCCCGUGCAAGACAGAUCCCCAGGUCGCACACGCUACAGGUCCCGCUCCAGGUCUCCCAGCCGUUUGAGCAGGCACAGGAGGACCGUGAGCCAAUUUAGAAGCAGGUUUUCCAAAUCCCCAGCCAGAGGAUACAGGAGCCGCUCGAGGUCCACAUCUUCAGGACAUUUGAGUUUGGAUGAUAAAAGAGAACCCCUUGAAGCUGCAAAGGCCAAUGCUUUGAAUAUCCUAGGUGUGGAGAAGCUGGAACUUCCUGAGAGUGUGAAACCAAUCCCGUCAGAGAAGUCAACGGAAUCCAGAUGGGUGUCACCAGAACCAGAGACAAGGGUGAGACAAGACCUCGAAAAGACUCUGUUACAGAUUCCAAUUGAAGGCCUAGAAGUAUUUUUCCCAUCUUGGACUAGAUGUAAAUACAAGAUAACAUGACAGUGGUCUCCUUCACUCAUCGGCACCUGGGAUUAAAAGGCUGUCAUGUGACUUGGGUGACGACAAUAUGUGUUUGCGUGAAAGGUUAAUUAAUAAGUCUUGUAAUGUUUGCAAUUAAACCAACACAUAUGUAGAUUUAGCAUUUAGACAUAAUGCACACAGUCCAUUCAAAUGCUAAUCACACACAUAGAUAACUGGAUCAUUGACAACCAAUUCAGAUAUUGUAUUACAAUGACUACACUUCAUAUAACAAGGCAAUAGAAUUUUGACAUUACAAAUGUAUUCAUGCUUGCAGUUGAAAUGGGUCAUUGUUAUUUAGCAGAAUCCUCCACUUGCUGAUGGAGCGCAGGCGUGUGGACUGCGUUAUAGUGACUAUUCCUGUCAAGAGAACUAAAAACAGACGAAGAACUCCUCUCCGUAUGCCAAAGAUAAGUUGGUACACGAGGCGUGUGCUGAGGGUCUGGGAAACCUGCAUCUCCAUCAUUCUGCCACUCUAGACAGAGAAGACAUCCUUUUUACUAUUUUGUUUGCAUUUUUUUGUUUUUACUGUUUCAAGGUCUGUACUUGAAGCACUCAUUUAAUGGUUGAGCCUAGUCUUUGUGUGGGGGGUGGGAAGUGUGCAUGAGAGCUGCAGUUUGUUGAAGCUAAUUCUGAAAUGUAUCUAUGCAAUAGAAGUGCUUUACAAUAUUAGUAAUAAAUCCUAUAAUCCAUCUAUCUGAACUUCACAAACUGUAAAAGCUCACUCUACUAUUAGUUCUACACCCAGUUCUAACUAGGUCUGUCUUUCUUGUCUUUUUUGAAACAGAGCAACGAGACAGAGCCUGAUGACGUGUCCAACCUAAAGAUGUCCCCGAAAAGGAAAAUAAUCUCUUUCAGCAUUAAUAAUUCUGUGGCCAAACCAACAACAGUAGCACCAUCCUGUGCUAAGGUAACUCCCAGAGUGGACAGCUAUGA
Seriola aureovittata is the source of this 1991-nucleotide RNA transcript. It is a transcript of the gene named arginine/serine-rich protein 1, with no coding region annotated. The transcript has 6 exons. The record is from RefSeq and is a predicted model, not a curated record. Lineage: Eukaryota; Metazoa; Chordata; Actinopteri; Carangiformes; Carangidae.